UCAGGACCAACAGUCAUCACAGUUGAAGGAGGGACUGAUGUAAUGUUACCCUGCUCUCUCAGCACCAAGGAGAACAUUACUUCAAAACUCUUUGACUGGAAGAAAGUUGCUCAGAAAGAUGAUGGUCUGAAGGAGGUGUUCCUGUAUGAUGGAGGCAGUCAUUACAACAACGGUCUAGAUGGUCAGAGUGAAGAGUUCAAAGGUCGAGUCUCUCAUUUUCCAGAUGAACUGAAAGACGGCAACGCCUCCAUAAUCAUCAGAAAUACAACGCUGGUUGACAGUGGAGACUACACCUGUUAUUUUCCAAAUCUUCAGCCACCUCAAACAUUCUACAUUGAUCUUGUUGUUGCAGUGCCAACCUCAGCGUCUCCCAAUGGAUGGAUUGUUGCUGGUGCAGUUCUAGCUGUUGCUGUUGUUGUUAUUGUUCUAGCUGCUGCUGUUCUUCUAGCCAAGUAUAAAAAAGUGAUGUCCAAAUGCAGCUUGUUCCAAAGAGCAGUACCACAGUAAGUGAAGACACCAGACCUGGAUCUGAUUCUGGGAACAGCUUGAAGACCUCUGCCUGAUGACCUGAGAGGCCUGAUGAUCAAUGAUCAAUGACACAGGUAUUGCAACAUGUAUAAUCUCUUCCACUUUAUCAAAUAAUUGCAACUUUUAAC
Molecule: long non-coding RNA, 656 nt
Filed under: Sander lucioperca (pikeperch)
Lineage: Eukaryota; Metazoa; Chordata; Actinopteri; Perciformes; Percidae
Description: lncRNA (ENSSLUG00000022526.1)
Source: RNAcentral